AUUAAUAGGAAAACUUUAUAAAUAUCAUUCGUAUAGUUUCGUAUUUUUUUAUUUUAAUACUCUAUAAUUUAACCUAUAUUAUUUUCAUAUUUUAUAAUUUUUUUCUUUUUAUUAUCCUAUCUAUCAUUUUUUUUAUUAAAUCAGUGACAAAAUAAAAAUUAAUAAAUACUAAAGUGAAUAUUCGAUAAACUAUAGAUAAGGUAUUUGAAGUUUUUGUAUAUGAUUUAAUAAAAAAUUUUCGAAGGGACUGACGAAAAGGAAAAAAUGAAACUACGUGAUACUAAAUUGAUAUACUGUAAACCAUAGGUAUUACAGUAAAAAAGUACAAAAUCAUAAAAAUAGUAUUUGAAGUUUACCCCAAUUAAUAUAAUAUAUAAUAAUAAUAAAGAUAAUA
Molecule: long non-coding RNA, 394 nt
Filed under: Ananas comosus (pineapple)
Lineage: Eukaryota; Viridiplantae; Streptophyta; Magnoliopsida; Poales; Bromeliaceae
Description: long non-coding RNA (ACOM_LNC002645)
Source: RNAcentral